GGUUGGUCUGAUGAUAACGGAUUAUCAGAACUUAUUAACAUUAGUGUCACUAAAGUUGCUAUACAACCCCCACAGCUAGAUUUUACUGACUUAAA
This 95-nucleotide non-coding RNA is filed under the name Cercocebus atys (sooty mangabey). Lineage: Eukaryota; Metazoa; Chordata; Mammalia; Primates; Cercopithecidae. The record is from RNAcentral.